UGCCCCGAUGGUGUAGUUUGGAUAACACAUGGGACUGCGGAUCCCAUUCCCCGGGUUCAAAUCCCGGUCGGGGCAU
This 76-nucleotide transfer RNA is filed under the name Methanobrevibacter oralis. Its description in RNAcentral is "tRNA-Arg". It matches the Rfam family "tRNA". Rfam says of the family: Transfer RNA (tRNA) molecules are approximately 80 nucleotides in length. Their secondary structure includes four short double-helical elements and three loops (D, anti-codon, and T loops). Lineage: Archaea; Methanobacteriati; Methanobacteriota; Methanobacteria; Methanobacteriales; Methanobacteriaceae. The record is from RNAcentral.